This 1492-nucleotide ribosomal RNA is filed under the name Clostridium botulinum. RNAcentral describes it as "bacterial SSU rRNA". It matches the Rfam family "Bacterial small subunit ribosomal RNA". Lineage: Bacteria; Bacillati; Bacillota; Clostridia; Eubacteriales; Clostridiaceae. The record is from RNAcentral.
AGAGUUUGAUCCUGGCUCAGGACGAACGCUGGCGGCGUGCUUAACACAUGCAAGUCGAGCGAUGAAACUUCCUUCGGGAAGUGGAUUAGCGGCGGACGGGUGAGUAACACGUGGGUAACCUGCCUCAAAGUGGGGGAUAGCCUUCCGAAAGGAAGAUUAAUACCGCAUAAUAUGAGAGAAUCGCAUGAUUUUCUUAUCAAAGAUUUAUUGCUUUGAGAUGGACCCGCGGCGCAUUAGCUAGUUGGUAAGGUAACGGCUUACCAAGGCAACGAUGCGUAGCCGACCUGAGAGGGUGAUCGGCCACAUUGGAACUGAGACACGGUCCAGACUCCUACGGGAGGCAGCAGUGGGGAAUAUUGCGCAAUGGGGGAAACCCUGACGCAGCAACGCCGCGUGGGUGAUGAAGGUCUUCGGAUUGUAAAGCCCUGUUUUCUAGGACGAUAAUGACGGUACUAGAGGAGGAAGCCACGGCUAACUACGUGCCAGCAGCCGCGGUAAUACGUAGGUGGCGAGCGUUGUCCGGAUUUACUGGGCGUAAAGGGUGCGUAGGCGGAUGUUUAAGUGGGAUGUGAAAUCCCCGGGCUUAACCUGGGGGCUGCAUUCCAAACUGGAUAUCUAGAGUGCAGGAGAGGAAAGCGGAAUUCCUAGUGUAGCGGUGAAAUGCGUAGAGAUUAGGAAGAACACCAGUGGCGAAGGCGGCUUUCUGGACUGUAACUGACGCUGAGGCACGAAAGCGUGGGUAGCAAACAGGAUUAGAUACCCUGGUAGUCCACGCCGUAAACGAUGGAUACUAGGUGUAGGGGGUAUCAACUCCCCCUGUGCCGCAGUUAACACAAUAAGUAUCCCGCCUGGGGAGUACGGUCGCAAGAUUAAAACUCAAAGGAAUUGACGGGGGCCCGCACAAGCAGCGGAGCAUGUGGUUUAAUUCGAAGCAACGCGAAGAACCUUACCUGGACUUGACAUCCCUUGCAUAGCCUAGAGAUAGGUGAAGCCCUUCGGGGCAAGGAGACAGGUGGUGCAUGGUUGUCGUCAGCUCGUGUCGUGAGAUGUUAGGUUAAGUCCUGCAACGAGCGCAACCCUUGUUAUUAGUUGCUACCAUUAAGUUGAGCACUCUAAUGAGACUGCCUGGGUAACCAGGAGGAAGGUGGGGAUGACGUCAAAUCAUCAUGCCCCUUAUGUCCAGGGCUACACACGUGCUACAAUGGUAGGUACAAUAAGACGCAAGACCGUGAGGUGGAGCAAAACUUAUAAAACCUAUCUCAGUUCGGAUUGUAGGCUGCAACUCGCCUACAUGAAGCUGGAGUUGCUAGUAAUCGCGAAUCAGAAUGUCGCGGUGAAUACGUUCCCGGGCCUUGUACACACCGCCCGUCACACCAUGAGAGCUGGUAACACCCGAAGUCCGUGAGGUAACCGUAAGGAGCCAGCGGCCGAAGGUGGGAUUAGUGAUUGGGGUGAAGUCGUAACAAGGUAGCCGUAGGAGAACCUGCGGCUG